UGGUAACGCUAGGGGUCCCGCACAAAUCCGCGACGUUUUCGCGGUCCAGCAGGCGAGCUCCGAACUUUCCCGACAGGGAGGUUCGUAACCUUGCCACCGGACGGGUGAGAAAAACCCUUGGAACCUGAUCAAGUUAACUCUUGCGCAGGGAAGCGUAUGCCGGGUUCC
This 168-nucleotide non-coding RNA is filed under the name Burkholderiales bacterium. RNAcentral's name for it is "TPP". It matches the Rfam family "TPP riboswitch aptamer (THI element)". Rfam says of the family: Vitamin B(1) in its active form thiamin pyrophosphate (TPP) is an essential coenzyme that is synthesised by coupling of pyrimidine and thiazole moieties in bacteria. The previously detected thiamin-regulatory element, thi box was extended, resulting in a new, highly conserved RNA secondary structure, the THI element, which is widely distributed in eubacteria and also occurs in some archaea. Lineage: Bacteria; Pseudomonadati; Pseudomonadota; Betaproteobacteria; Burkholderiales. The record is from RNAcentral.